Molecule: ribosomal RNA, 449 nt
Filed under: uncultured bacterium
Lineage: Bacteria
Description: partial 16S ribosomal RNA
Rfam family: Bacterial small subunit ribosomal RNA
Source: RNAcentral
AAUGAACGCUGGCGGCAUGCCUAACACAUGCAAGUCGAACGAAGCCUUCGGGCUUAGUGGCGCACGGGUGCGUAACGCGUGGGAAUCUGCCCUUGGGUUCGGAAUAACUCUCCGAAAGGAGUGCUAAUACCGGAUGAUGUCGAAAGACCAAAGAUUUAUCGCCCAGGGAUGAGACCGCGUAGGAUUAGCUAGUUGGUGAGGUAAAAGAUCACCAAGGCGACGGUCCUUAGCUGGACUGAGAGGAUGAUCAGCCACACUGGGACUGAGACACGGCCCAGACUCCUACGCGAGGCAGCAGUGGGGAAUAUUGGACAAUGGGCGAAAGCCUGAUCCAGCAAUGCCGCGUGAGUGAUGAAGGCCUUAGGGUUGUAAAGCUCUUUUACCCGGGAUGAUAAUGACAGUACCGGGAGAAUAAGCCCCGGCUAACUCCGUGCCAGCCGCCGCAGUAA